This is a long non-coding RNA of Haliotis rubra (blacklip abalone), 430 nucleotides long. RefSeq lists it as uncharacterized. Lineage: Eukaryota; Metazoa; Mollusca; Gastropoda; Lepetellida; Haliotidae. The record is from RefSeq and is a predicted model, not a curated record. The transcript is spliced from 3 exons.
UUAAAAAUAGAUCUGGUCCUAAAGAACCGUUGUUUAGAAGGCUGGUUCUUGGCGAAAUGCUGGUAUAGAGCAAAUCGGAUUUGGUACUUCAUGAAGUCGGGGCAGAUCAGGCAGGGUCUAAACUGUGUUGACUUUUCAAAAAGGAAAGUUUCUUUUACCUCCCUGCAGCAACAGCACCAGCCAGAUAUUCCGAUACAGAGAGGACCGGUCGCUCCUCCACGUGGCAACAAAUACCUGCUUGUCUUUAAUAAUGCAUCAGGGAUUAACGUUAUCCAACUGCACGGGACAACCAAAUCAAAAGUGGACUUGGAUAAUGGAGUAAUGAAAAACCAAGAGCUUUUGAAUUAGAGCGAAAGAAUUGUGUGAAAUAUGAAAGUGUGCAAAUACAUUAUUGUUCAAUUUUCAUUUUGUUACACUUCAAAAAUAUGUU